This 928-nucleotide ribosomal RNA is filed under the name uncultured bacterium. RNAcentral's name for it is "bacterial SSU rRNA". It matches the Rfam family "Bacterial small subunit ribosomal RNA", at positions 1 to 916 of the family's 1533-position model. The record is from RNAcentral.
GGAUCCAGACUUUGAUUCUGGCUCAGGAUGAACGCUAGCUACAGGCUUAACACAUGCAAGUCGAGGGGAAACGACAUCGAAAGCUUGCUUUUGAUGGGCGUCGACCGGCGCACGGGUGGAGUAACGCGUAUCCAUCCUGCCCACCACUUGGGGAUAACCUUGCGAAAGUAAGACUAAUACCCAAUGAUAUCUCUAGAAGACAUCUGAAAGAGAUUAAAGAUUUAUCGGUGAUGGAUGGGGAUGCGUCUGAUUAGCUUGUUGGCGGGGUAACGGCCCACCAAGGCAACGAUCAGUAGGGGUUCUGAGAGGAAGGUCCCCCACAUUGGAACUGAGACACGGUCCAAACUCCUACGGGAGGCAGCAGUGAGGAAUAUUGGUCAAUGGACGGGAGUCUGAACCAGCCAAGUAGCGUGCAGGAUGACGGCCCUAUGGGUUGUAAACUGCUUUUAUAAGGGAAUAAAGUGAGUCUCGUGAGACUUUUUGCAUGUACCUUAUGAAUAAGGACCGGCUAAUUCCGUGCCAGCAGCCGCGGUAAUACGGAAGGUCCGGGCGUUAUCCGGAUUUAUUGGGUUUAAAGGGAGCGUAGGCCGGAGAUUAAGCGUGUUGUGAAAUGUAGACGCUCAACGUCUGCACUGCAGCGCGAACUGGUUUCCUUGAGUACGCACAAAGUGGGCGGAAUUCGUGGUGUAGCGGUGAAAUGCUUAGAUAUCACGAAGAACUCCGAUUGCGAAGGCAGCUCACUGGAGCGCAACUGACGCUGAAGCUCGAAAGUGCGGGUAUCGAACAGGAUUAGAUACCCUGGUAGUCCGCACGGUAAACGAUGGGAUGCCCGCUGUUGGUCUGAAUAGGUCAGCGGCCAAGCGAAAGCAUUAAGCAUCCCACCUGGGGGAGUACGCCGGCAACGGUGAAACUCAAAUGACAUCGACGG